CGGCGCGCCUAACACAUGCAAGUCGAACGAUUAAAGCACCUUCGGGUGUGUAUAAAGUGGCGAACGGCUGAGUAACACGUGGGCAACCUGCCCCUUUCAUUGGGAUAGCCACGGGAAACCGUGGAUAAUACCGAAUACUUCGAGACUUCCGCAUGGAAGACUCGAGAAAGCUCCGGCGGAGAGGGAUGGGCCCGCGGCCUGUUAGCUUGUUGGUGGGGUAACGGCCUACCAAGGCAAUGAUGGGUAGCUGGGUUGAGAGACCGACCAGCCAGAUUGGGACUGAGACACGGCCCAGACUCCUACGGGAGGCAGCAGUGGGGAAUCUUGCACAAUGGGCGAAAGCCUGAUGCAGCGACGCCGCGUGCGGGAUGAAGGCCUUCGGGUUGUAAACCGCUUUCAGCAGGGACGAGGCGAAAGUGACGGUACCUGCAGAAGAAGCCCCGGCUAACUACGUGCCAGCAGCCGCGGUAAUACGUAGGGGGCAAGCGUUAUCCGGAUUCAUUGGGCGU
This 509-nucleotide ribosomal RNA is filed under the name Lancefieldella parvula. Its description in RNAcentral is "bacterial SSU rRNA". It matches the Rfam family "Bacterial small subunit ribosomal RNA", at positions 40 to 561 of the family's 1533-position model. Lineage: Bacteria; Bacillati; Actinomycetota; Coriobacteriia; Coriobacteriales; Atopobiaceae. The record is from RNAcentral.